Long non-coding RNA from Orcinus orca (killer whale), 5427 nucleotides. RefSeq lists it as uncharacterized. The record is from RefSeq and is a predicted model, not a curated record. The transcript has 3 exons. Lineage: Eukaryota; Metazoa; Chordata; Mammalia; Artiodactyla; Delphinidae.
UUGUAUUUUCUUGUAUUUUCUCCAUUCUGUUUCCGAGGUUUUGGAUCAUCUUUACUAUCAUUACUCAAUUCUUUUUCAGGUAGACUGCCUAUUUCCUCUUCAUUUGUUUGGUCUUGUGGGUUUUUACCUUGCUCCUUCAUCUGCUGUGUGUUUCUCUGUCUUCUCAUUUUGCUUUACUUACUGUGUUUGGGGUCUCCUUUUCACAGGCUGCAGGUUCGCAGUUCCCAUUGUUUUUGGUGUCUGCCCCCCAGUGUCUAUGGUUGGUUCAGUGGGUUGUGUAGGUUUCCUGGUGGAAGGGACUGGUGCCUGUGUUCUGGAGGAUGAGGCUGGAUCUUGUCUUUCUGGUGGGCAGGACCACAUCCAGUAGUGUGUUUGGGGGUGUCUGUGACCUUAUUAUGAUUUUAGGCAGCCUGUCUGCUAAUGGGUGGGGUUGUGUUCCUGUCUUGCUAGUUGUUUGACAUAGGGUGUCCAGCACUGGAGCCUGCUGGUCGUUGAGUGGAGUUGGGUCUUAGCGUUGAGAUGGAGAUCUCUGGGAGAGCUUUCGCCAUUUGAUAUUAUGUGGAGCCAGGAGGUCUCUGGUGGACCAAUUUCCUGAACUCGGCUCUCUCACCUCAGAGUCACAGGCUUUACACCCAGCCAAAGCACCAAGACCCUGCCAGCCACACGGUUUGCCUCCAGGAGGGCUGAAGAAUCUCCAAACUCCUCUCUUGUGGCAAUUAAAUGAGAUAAAAUCUAAAAGCCUCCAGUAUGGAGACUGUCCCAUAAUAAGAGUGCAAUAAACUUUCGUUUUUAUCAAUUAUCAGUAACUUGCUACUGGGAGAGGAGCAAUCUAUGUGCGUUUGGCUACCACUGGGACCUUUCUGGAAGCAAAGGCUGUGGAAGGGCCUCUCCAGUGAGUCAGGACUAGAAACUAUAGUGGGAACUCCCCAUGCCCCCUCCCCGAAGCCUAUUGCCUCACAUCACAACGGAGGUCAGCAUAGGCCAGACCAAAACCAAGAAGAGUUAGCCCUUCCCCACCAAUAUCAGGCUAUUGCAUAAGCCCUGAGAUUUAAAACUAAUCCUAGGGAGGAGGAAGAGGGGAGGGUGAAUCAUGUGCUUAUAUAAGUUUGUGAGUGGAAAAUAGUCAUACUUGUUACACCUGUAAAGGUCUGUCCUGGAAGAACUACAGCAGGGAUGCAGACGAUUUGGCAUAUGGAGUGAAGCAACCUACCUCCCACCUGUACCCUACAUCCUCGCCACCAAUCCUACUCUCCUCAAGGGAAGAAUGAAAGUCUGAUUAAAGGAACAGUGGGACACUGCUAGAAACCUUCACUCGCAUUCAAACAUGAGGACUAAAACCCUGCACUUGAUCCGGAAGGAUCAUCUAUGGAAGAAAGAGAACUCUGGAAUAUACCCUAGAGAUGAACAAAGCUACUCAAGGAAGAAACAUCCCUUCCUGAGGCUGAGAUGGCAGAGAAGUAUACUGAGUUGCUCCAGGCCAGAGCUGGUCAACAGUUACUGGACAAGCAGGAGACACUGCUCCAGGGUGCAGCUGGCAACCAAACAGUAGGAGCAAGGAGGAAAACAGAAAACACUGGUACCUGGGAAGAGAAGCCUCUUCCUCCUGCAGUUUCCCUCCGGUGCCCUCUACUGACGAAGCUUUUAACACCACGUCAGCGCAAAGGAGGAACUGAGGAUCCAGAUCAACUUUCACAGGUCAAGAAAUGGAGUUUGAAUCUGGGGCCAAAGGCAACAAAUUGCUAACUGGUAUAAGUGUUUAUCUUUUAUGAUUGUAAAAAUCUUACUGACAGCUGAGCCGUGUAGUGUACUAUAAUCACUUCUCCUUCCCUACUUGUUUUUUUUGUUUUUUCUUGAAUUAAUAAUUGACUUUGUUGUUUUUGUUUCUUUAAUUAUCACCAAUCCCCAAAUUCUCCCCCAAGUUAUGUAAAUCUCCCCUCCACUGAGGGAGCAAUAGUCUCAGUCCUAAUUGUGGCAACUUUCAGUACCAGAACCACUAGUUAGGUGAGGAAAGCUGGGCAGCAGAGACCAUGGUUAUUAUUUGAGGAACUUUAUGCAUCUUCAGCAGGAUUCCCCACAAUGGCCUUGGGGCCAAUUCACAGAGGCCACUGACUCUUUUCUCUACCAUCUCCUUUCUUCCCCCGAGGGGUGAUCUCGCAAAUUCUGUGCCCUCUCCUUCAUUAACUCACUGCUCCUGGCUUCUCAGCGUCCCAUUUAUUAAUUAAAACAGAGCAGUAAAUAUGGCUGAUAAGCAUGAACAGUGGAACAACACAUUGUAUUAAAAACGAGGAGAAGAACAAUUGUGACAUAAUUCAGACCCACGCCAUCAACCUCUAACCCCUUGAAAAGGUCUCUGAAACUUUCUGCAAUUUCCACAAAAGUCAUUCUCUUUGUACUAAACUUUCAACUUCCUUAAGGACUAUCAUUCUAGAUAAACAGACCAUGUCUUAUUAAGUUCUAUUGCUUUCCUCUUUUAAUCACUAGUAUCAUAUCUGAAAAGUAUCCCUUGUAACAAAUGUAUAUAAUUUCAACUACCUCUCAUAGAAAAUGUGUGUAAUUUCAAUCAAACAAAAAAUCUAUAGUUAGGCUGGUUCUCACCACUACGUAGAAUCUUAUUUUUAUAGUGACAUAAUUUCUGAGUUUUGAACCACUGAUUUAGAAACAGACCUUUGAAAUUCAACACAUUUGUGGAUUGGAAACUACUCAUUUUCAAGGUCUGACUGUGAAAUAGAAAAAUUACUUUCACGGUAUUAGUUAUAAUGUAUCCUGUAAUAUCACACCAUAUAUACAACACAUAAAUUUAUGUAUUAACUCAACAAAUUUGUAUUCCAUCUCAAAAUUAUUUGCAUCACAAAUGUUUGUUUUGUUGUCAUGCACUUUUUACUGCCUGGAAACACAGGGCCAAGACACAUAGUAGGAGCUUAAGAAAGGCAUUGGAUUAAAUGGGAAUUUUAAUCCAAUUGACUAUUUAAUCAUUAAAAUCACUUUAUACCUGUUAUUGUACUAUGAUAUACUGUGUUAUGUUAUUUUAGAAUUAGGAUUAUUAAUGUAUAAUGUACCAGCAUUGUGUGUAGUUAUAAAUUACUGAGCCUGUGUCAUAAGAUUUAGAACUCACCUUUCUGCGGUUUGAAGCUUUACCCCUACCCUUCAUUCCCAGGCACAAACAUUUCAUGCUGGCUUGUGCAGAACACUAAGUGGCCCCAACAGAUAAAGCCCAAGGUUUUUAAAGUUCAAAUAUCUAAAUAGUUUUCUUCCACGGAUAGUGUUUUUCCAUUGGUUUUGAAAACCAAAUAACUUUAGGAUUCAAAGGAAUGUGAAAGCUCUAAGUACACAUUCAUAUGGGUUGAUGGUAAAUUGCUAUACACAGAAUGCUGUUCAAGCCUGAAAUAUUAAGGAAACUCAUUGUUUCCUUUAAAAAAAAAGUUGGCUUUAGUUGUUGGUCUUUUACUGAAUGAAUGGAUUUUCCAGAAAGACAAAAAGUAAUUUUCUACAACUAGCAGAGAAAGGGAAGGAGGAAAACUGGUUUCAACAGGCCAGUAUUCAGAUAAUGGCAAAUCCAGGACUCCUGUCUGGUUAAAAGCUUAUGUCCUUAGAGACUAUUUUGAAGCUGUUAUUUGAAGAAUAAAAUGGUAAACAAAGUACUUUAACUGGCAAGAAAACAGAGUCAGAAUUUACCCCAAAUUAUAUUCCAGAAUGAUUAAAAUUUGAAUGUAAAAUAAGGCAAAUAUAUAAAAGUUUAAGAAGAAAGUGUAUGUACAUGUUUAUGUAUCUCUGGUGAAAGAGGCCUUGCUAAGCUAACAUAUCACUGAAGACAAAAGGCAUCAAGAAUAUGACUGACAGAUUAGACCACAUGAAAAUCCAAAUUUUUCCUGUUACGGACUGAAUGUUUGUGUCUCCAUGAAAGCCAAAAGUCCUAACCCUCAAUGUGAUGGUAUUUGGAGAUGGGACCUUUGGAAGGUAGUUAGGGUUAGAUGAGGUCAAGAGGGUGAGGCCCUCAUGACCUUAUAAGAAGAGACACCAGAGAGCUUGUUCUCUCCGUGCCGUGUGAGGACACAGCAAGAAGGUAGCCAUCGGUGAGCUUGGAAGAAAGCUCUCUCCAGAAACUGACCGUGCUGACACCUUGAUCUUGGAGCUCUAACUUCCAGAACUGUGAGAAAAUAGAUUUCUGUUGUUUAAGGUACCCAGACUAUUCUAUUUUGUUAUGGCAACUCAAGCAGACUAACACACGGCCUAAAGAAAGUUUAAAAACCAGAAAUGUGAAGAAAAAGAUUUGCAACAUGCGUAAUAAGCAACACGUCUAUAAUUCCAAAAUAUAUAAUUUUUGUGUUACAAAUCCACUAGAAAAAUACAAAUAUCUUAAUAGCAAAAUGAGCAAAGGUCACAGAAGGAUAAUUUAUCAAAGAACUACAGAUUGUCAAUAAAUAAAACAUGCUCUAUAUCAUUACUGUGACAGGUAGAAAAAUGACCCACCAGAGAUGUCAUGUCCUAAACCCCAGAACCUGUGACAGCAAAAGAGGUUUUGCAGAAGUGAUUAGGGAUUUUGAGAUGUGAUAUUAUUCUGGGUUAUCUGGGUGGUCCCAAAGUAAUCACAAGGGUCCUUAUAAGUGAAAGAGGGAGGCAGGAGGGUCAGAAUCAGAGAAGGAGAUGUGAGGAGAGAAGCAGAAGUUAGACUAAUGAUGGAGGAAGGUGCCACAAGCCAAGGAAUGCAGGAGGCUUCUAGAAGAAAGAGAUAGAUUCUUCUGUUUCAACAUAAUAAAUUCAUGUUCUUUUAAGCUACCAAGUUUGUGGUAAUUUAUUACAGCAGCAAUAAGAAAGCAAUAUAAUGACUAAUCAAAGAAAUAGACAUUUAAAAAAUGAUUUUGCCUUUAGAGCUCUGUAAAGGCAAAGUGUUGGUGUGGGAAACACAGGCACACAUAUGCUUUUGGUAAGAGUGUAAAUUAGUAUACCCUUUCAGGAGUCAUUUGGCAGUAAGUAUCAGAUCUUUAAACAUGCAUACUCUCUGACAUAACGAUUUUAAUUUUCCUUGACUAUGUCCUAAAGCACUGGAUUUCCAGCUACAUUUAGUGAUGGAACUCUUUCUUCUCCCCAAAUGGAGCAGAGAGACGUGAACCUAUGAUUGUUGAAGGAAGAUUAAGGGCUGAAGCCCUGCAGCCUUCACCUCACCCCUGCAGGAGCCCCUCACGCAUUUCCACGGGCUCCAUGGAACACACUCUGAGAACCACUGUCCUGGGGGAAGAACUGGACAAGCAAACCAAAGACCCCCCCAAAACACAAGGAUGUUUAUCACAACAUUGUUCAUAAUUGCAAGAAAUUAGAAACCACCUACAUGGCCCUCAAAAAAGUGACUUAUGGUUUAUUUAUAAGCACUAUACAAUACUGUGUACCUAUUAAAAAUGAUGACAUGCAACUAUAUUGACAUGGAAAGAGUUA